This 550-nucleotide ribosomal RNA is filed under the name uncultured bacterium. Its description in RNAcentral is "bacterial SSU rRNA". It matches the Rfam family "Bacterial small subunit ribosomal RNA", at positions 105 to 657 of the family's 1533-position model. The record is from RNAcentral.
GGUGAGUAAUGCUUGGGAACUUGCCUUUAGGUGGGGGAUAACAGUUGGAAACGACUGCUAAUACCGCAUAAUGUCUACGGACCAAAGGGGGCUUCGGCUCCCGCCUUGAGAGAGGCCCAAGUGAGAUUAGCUAGUCGGUGGGGUAAAGGCCUACCAAGGCAACGAUCUCUAGCUGUUCUGAGAGGAAGAUCAGCCACACUGGGACUGAGACACGGCCCAGACUCCUACGGGAGGCAGCAGUGGGGAAUAUUGCACAAUGGGGGAAACCCUGAUGCAGCCAUGCCGCGUGUGUGAAGAAGGCCUUCGGGUUGUAAAGCACUUUCAGUUGUGAGGAAAGGUUGGUAGUUAAUACCUGCCAGCUGUGACGUUAACAACAGAAGAAGCACCGGCUAACUCCGUGCCAGCAGCCGCGGUAAUACGGAGGGUGCGAGCGUUAAUCGGAAUUACUGGGCGUAAAGCGCACGCAGGCGGCUUGUUAAGCUAGAGGUGAAAGCCCCGCGCUCAACGUGGGAACUGCCUUUAGAACUGGCAGGCUAGAGUCUUGGAGAGG